This 602-nucleotide long non-coding RNA is filed under the name Homo sapiens (human). Its description in RNAcentral is "non-protein coding lnc-BRI3BP-2:2". Lineage: Eukaryota; Metazoa; Chordata; Mammalia; Primates; Hominidae. The record is from RNAcentral.
CGGGCACAGUGUCCUUAUGUGGAUCGGUGUGUCUGACCCCUGGGCACCCGCUGGGGGUGCAGCUCCACCAGGCCCAGUGCUCUGGAGCUCCCGCAGACGCCACCUGCCACCACGCAUAAGCCAAGGUGAACAGGCAGCCGCAGGAAGGGCGUCCAGAUGGCUCCUUAAUCCUAAAGAAGCCAGAUCCGAAUCUUGCCAAAUUGUAGCCAGGAGUUCUCGAGCAGCCGGAGAGCGAUGGAUUUCCACCGGCAGAGGAAAGAUCCAGCUUUAGGAGCAGAAUCACACCUGCCAGCUGGCCCUAGCAAGCUGUGGUCUCUGGGAGGCCAGGGACGAGAGCCCACUCCCUCCUCCGUUCAUGGCUCAGGGUCGUGGCCAGAGCCUGCCUGUGUAGAGGCGACUCCAGCAGCCCCCAGCCCCGCCCAGCUCUGCCCACACAGCUGCAAGGCCAGCAUCCUGCCCUUUGUCAAGUUCACCACAGUCAUGUCCCACCCCCCAUUCGCUGAAAUCAGCCCCAAAUUGCCUGGAAACCCAGACCCCGCACCCCCUCCCCAGCUUUCCUUCUUCAUGGAGUUUCUAUUUCAGAACAAGGAAACAGAUACCCC